Molecule: ribosomal RNA, 512 nt
Filed under: uncultured bacterium
Lineage: Bacteria
Description: bacterial SSU rRNA
Rfam family: Bacterial small subunit ribosomal RNA
Source: RNAcentral
UUCUGGCUCAGGAUGAACGCUAGCUACAGGCUUAACACAUGCAAGUCAGGGGCAUCAUGGAGUUUGCUUGCAAACUCUGAUGGCGACCGGCGCACGGGUGAGUAACGCGUAUCCAACCUUCCCUAUAGUAGAGGAUAGCCCGGCGAAAGUCGGAUUAAUACUCUAUGUUUUCCGUUGCAGACAUCUAAGAUGGAACAAAGGCUUGCCGCUAUAGGAUGGGGGAUGCGUCUGAUUAGGUAGUCGGCGGGGUAACGGCCCACCGAGCCAUCGAUCAGUAGGGGUUCUGAGAGGAAGGUCCCCCACAUUGGAACUGAGACACGGUCCAAACUCCUACGGGAGGCAGCAGUGAGGAAUAUUGGUCAAUGGGCGAGAGCCUGAACCAGCCAAGUAGCGUGCAGGACGACGGCCCUAUGGGUUGUAAACUGCUUUUAUGCGGGGAUAAAGUUCACUACGUGUAGUGUUUUGUAGGUACCGCAUGAAUAAGGACCGGCUAAUUCCGUGCCAGCAGCCGC